UACGAACCGUCCAAACGUUAUUCGGAAUCACUGGGCUUAAAGGGUGCGUAGGCUGCGCUGUAAGUUGGGUGUGAAAGCCCUCGGCUUAACCGAGGAAUUGCGCUCAAUACUGCUGUGCUUGAGGGAGAUAGAGGUGAGCGGAACUUAGGGUGGAGCGGUGAAAUGCGUUGAUAUCCUAAGGAACACCUGGGGCGAAAGCGGCUCACUGGAUCUUUUCUGACGCUGAUGCACGAAAGCUAGGGUAGCGAACGGG
RNAcentral lists this ribosomal RNA (253 nucleotides) under uncultured bacterium. Its description in RNAcentral is "partial 16S ribosomal RNA". It matches the Rfam family "Bacterial small subunit ribosomal RNA", at positions 524 to 776 of the family's 1533-position model. The record is from RNAcentral.